Long non-coding RNA from Trichechus manatus latirostris (Florida manatee), 840 nucleotides. RefSeq lists it as uncharacterized. Lineage: Eukaryota; Metazoa; Chordata; Mammalia; Sirenia; Trichechidae. The transcript has 2 exons. The record is from RefSeq and is a predicted model, not a curated record.
AAAGAAAAAAAAAAAAAGGAUGAAAGCGAGGUUGAGUUGAAAUGGAAAAUUAUUAAAAGCAAAACAGGAAACGAGUGUUUGCUCAGCCAACCAUUUCCUAUUGAUGGUUCUCUGUGUAAUGUUGUCUAUGAAGGAUUCACUGUUCACCCUUAAACAGAUUGAAAUGAUCCGUGGGGGGAAAUAAUACCAAACCGAAGGGCUGUGUGGAAGCUAAGGUCAGUGCUGAGGCCCCCGAGUUGCUGUGGAGAGGCCGGCUGUGAAGGCGUAUGUGUCUCUGUUGAAGGGAAGCCUUUGAAAGCUAUCUUUUUAACAGGAUGAAUGCAAAACGCUACCGGGGAGAAAAAAAGGCGGCACAAAACUGCCACUUGAGCAUUGCUUCCUGUCCAUGUGGCUCUAGUUCUUUGCUGACAGUUAUUCUUAGAACUUCUUUGGCUUCAAAGGUUUCCUCUUUUCUAUUUUUGGUAGCAGAAUAUGGAUUUAUAUCUGCACAACCCCUCUCGUCUAUGAAUGUGUUCCCUGAGGAGAGUAGUUUUUCGUAGCUAUGAGUUCUCUUUUCAGCACCUCCAAAUGAUUUUUAAUAUUAAGGACACAGAUUUACGGGAAGGAAUCACUGGGUUUUCAAACUGGCUUGUAGUCUCUUAAUUUGCGCAUGUCUUUCUCCAGCAGGGGUACCUCAGAGAUCAUUUCAAGUCAUGAGGCCUGACUUUCAUGAUGAGUGAAAGAUCCGGGCAUAAGGAAUAGAACGUGGAAGUUGGACUUAAUGAACAAAAGAGGAGCCUGUGGAUGGUGGGGGAGUUUUCGGAGCAACCUCCAGUGCUCAAGGCCAACAAAGAACCUAAG